CCUACGGGAGGCAGCAGUAGGGAAUUUUCGGCAAUGGGGGGAACCCUGGCCGAGCAACGCCGCGUGAACGAAGAAGUUAUUCGUAAUGUAAAGUUCUUUUAACAGGGAAGAAAGAGAAAUUUGACGGUACCUGAAGAAUAUGCUCCGGCUAACUACGUGCCAGCAGCCGCGGUAAUACGUAGGGAGCGAUGGUUGUCCGGAAUUAUUGGGCGUAAGGGAUGCGUAGAUGGCAGAGUAAGUCUUUUGUAAAAAUGCUGGGCUCAACCCAGUAGGGCAAAAGAUACUGCAAAUCUAGAGUAUGACAGAGGCAAGUGGAACUACAGGUGUAGCGGUAAAAUGCGUAAAUAUAUGUAAGAACACCAAUGGCGAAGGCGGCUUGCUAGGUCGAUACUGACAUUGAUGCACGAAAGCGUGGGGAGCAAACAGGAUUAGAUACCCUGGUAGUC
RNAcentral lists this ribosomal RNA (446 nucleotides) under uncultured bacterium. RNAcentral describes it as "partial 16S ribosomal RNA". It matches the Rfam family "Bacterial small subunit ribosomal RNA", at positions 338 to 795 of the family's 1533-position model. The record is from RNAcentral.